AAAAAGUCAUUUUUGACGCUUAUCGUCUCUAAAUUGACUAGCCCUGAUCUACGGGCGUUACAAUUAUCUCCCCCUUAGGAUGAUUACGUCCCGGAAUCAUCAACGAAAUAGGAUUCGUAUACUGACUCCAUAAGUUAUCUCUCCAUCCUAAGUAAUAACCUUGAUGCUCAAUCCUGCAUCUGCUCUUCGUACUACGUUGGACUUUAGAUCGACAUCUUUAAGUUACAAAAUAAAUCCUUAUUGUGGACUCCUUCUUCUUCUAAGGAUAAAUACAUUCAUUUAUCUAUUGUAACUAACCGAUGGGUCGUGUCCCGAUGACCUCUCAUCGUAGUCGGACUCAAUUUAAUAUGACCACUAGGGUCGGAAUAACCAUCAUCCUACUAGCCAUUACCGAAACAAGGGUAAUGACACACUUGAAUAAAAAGAAAUCAAUUACUAGCUUCUUGGUAACCUUGUGACUUUCCCUGAUCCAAGCGUGAGUCCUGUGCUUCCGGUAGUAUAGAUCUCUACUACCAUUCACACCUACUCAUACUCGUCCCAAGCAUUGUCUCGCAGUUAACCAAGUCACCAUACAUAAAUCAUAUAAUCAUUCAACACAUCAGAUAACAAAACCAGGGUUUAUAUUAAUUCUUGAAACUAUUACACAAAAGUUCAAGUUCACCCUAUACUAUGCCUCUAACAGGCUAUGCUUCCUGAUACAAACUUUAUAUAUUAAUAUGAAGUCUUCAUCUUUUAAUCCUCCCAUCCUUUUCUGCUUCGUUGAGGAACAUGUUGAAUGCCUUUGGCUGUGGAGGUGUGUUUUUCUUUGGGCAUUCUUUAGAAAUAUGCCCUUCUUCGUUACAUCUAUAGCACGCCUUCUUGAUAGGUGCGCACUUGUUGGCGUAGUGCCCUGUCUUCCCAUAUUUGUAGCAAGUCAUCUUCUCGCUACAUUUCCCGAAGUGUUUCUUCUUACACUUCUCACACCACUUAGCUUCAUCUCUUCCCUCAGAUUUCGAGAAUUUGCUUUCUUUGUCGAUUAAUGAAGAUCCUUCACGCUUCCUUUUCUCUCCAACUUCAGCUCUUUCCAGACCCUUUUCUUUUAUUUGGGUCUCAACAUUCUUGGCUUCCCAGAUGGCGGCUUUCAGAGUGGUUUCUUGCUUGACUAUCAGACCAAAGUUUGCUGGUAAUCCCUUGGCAAACUUGUUGACCUUGGAAAGUUCAGUUGGAAUUAGGUAUGGAAUAAGCUUCAUCAUCUCCGUAAAGCUCGUAGCGUAUUCAGUAACGCUCAAUUUUCCUUUCUUCAAAUUCUGGAACUCAUUGUUGAUUUCCAGAAGAUCUUGCUCAGAGCAGUAUUGCAUUUUCAGUUGCACCACGAACUCUUCCCAAGACAUCUUGCUAGCUUCCCCCUUGGGCAUCGAACCAGCCAGUAACUUCCACCAGCUCAAUACUCCAGAUUUUAACAGAGGGAUUGCAAGAGCGGUCUUCUGUCUGUUGCUACACUCGCAACUUUCAAACAUUGUCUCCAUCUCGGAGAUCCAGUCCAUGACUUGCACCGGUGUCGGGCUCCCAGAAAGACAUGGUGGUUUGGAUGCCAUGAAAUCCUUGUACUUGCAUCCACGUCCAUCAUUGCCUCCAUCAUGAUUGUUUCGACGAACUAUUGGUGGGUUGGCUUGACCAAUGGUCCCACUAUUGUUCCCUUCUUCUGACUGCCCCUCAUUCAGCUCAGGCUGUUCAACUGGUAUUGAGGGUUCACUCCUAUUGUUCAGCAGCAAUUGUCUCAUUUCCUCCUUUUGUUCAGCCAUCAUGGCCUGAAUCAUGGUUCGCACUCCAGCCAUUGUGAUUGGUUCAGGUGUUGCUGCUACCACAGCCACUCGCUCAACCACAGGUGGUUGAUUCCUGUUUUCAUUCACGUUUCCAGCUCUACUCCUGGUUCUUGUCAUUCUGAUCUAUACACCGAAGAAGGUGAAAUUAGAUCCUUAUUCACGAUAGAUAUUCAAAUCAUCCUUAUCACUCCGAAACGUUUACAUGCUAGUUCUAAUAUCGUAGACGCACGCUUAGAAUCCUAAACACAUAAGGUUUCCAGAUCCGGUCGGCAACAGACCAUAGAUCCGAACAAUUAACAUCAUAUAUGGCAAACAUAUAACAAUUAGCACAUAAUAGCAUUUUAGGCAAUUUUCCUAAAAUAAACUAGUGCCUGUGUCAAUUUAGGUGUACUACCUAAAAUAUAAUGGACACACUCAACUCACAAUCAUUGCUUAGCAUUCUAAGUUUAAGUCUAGAAAUAAAUCCAUAUUCCUAGUUCGCUUAAACUAAUGCUCUGAUACCAACUGUGACAUCCCCAAUUUCACGGCCAGAAAAGACCGAUUUGUUUAUGCUUUUUUUUUAAAAUCAGAGUAAUCGUUUAAAGAAAACUGUUGCGGAAUUUGUUCCCAAAAACAAAAAUAUGAUAACCAUUUAUCCAAACAUUUCUCAAAGAGAAUGUAUUUUCAUUAAAUAAUAAAACCUUGGGAUGUCAUGUUCGAUACAGACCAAAAGCAUAAACAAUAUAAAAUAGACCUUACAAUAGUUAUUUAUAACUACUGAUCUAUAAUCCAAAAUCUCUCGUCAAGUCCACCAACUUAUACCCUUGUGCCAUUACCUGUAAUGAAAAGAAAACUGAGUGGGUCAGGCUUGGGAGCCUGGUGAGCAUAUAGGGUUUUCAACCCACAAUAAUAUAAUUAUUAUAUUUAAUCAGCAAACAAUCAACCCAAUUACCCAUCCCCAUUAUCUUCUUAAGGUUUUACCCUAAGAACCAACUAUCCUUCAUUCAUUUAUUCGUAAGGAAUUGGCACGAAUUCCAUUGCUGCCAAAGUUUAUUUAUCAAGUACUAAAUCCAUAGUUAUCAGGCGCUAACUCCAUAGUCACCAAGGUUCACUUAACAAGCGCUAACUCCAUAGUCGCCAAGGUUUACUCAACAAGCGCUAACUCCAUAGUCGCCAAGGUUUACUCAACAAGCGCUAACUCCAUAGUCGCCAAGGUUCAUCAAAUAGGCACGAAGUCACAUCGUCGCCAAGGUUUAUACAAUAGGCGCUAACUCCAUAGUCACCAACUAUCCCAUCUACCCAUGUUCUACCCAACAUUUUCGUAGAUAUAAAUACUUACACAGUUUAAAUCAUUUAACACCUGUAUAAAACUCCAAUUUCCAUGCCCAUCUCAAAUAGACAAAUAACAUAUAAACACAUAGCACGUAUUUCAUAGCAAAUACUUCAUAUUUAUGUGUUAGAAGAAAGUAACUACACACUCACACAUAUAAACAACAAUAUACUUAAUACACUCAAACCAUACUUGUAUUAUUAUCGUGUUUAUGAAAGGUAGUAUACACUCACUUGAUCAGAAGAUGAUCGGACAGCACUACGGCUUGCAGAAGUAGUAUAUCUCCGCAGAUCUGGAAGAUCUUCACAAAAAUUGAACUUCUCGCGGGCAGAGCUUCGGCUCGGGAAUCACGCUCUUCGGGAUUCUCGGGGCUUCGGAUCUUGCUUCGGGACUCGGGAUUGAUACCGGGGCUUCGGGACACUUCGGGCACGCAAAACGAUGCAAAACGGGAGAGAGAAGAGAGAAAAAGAGCAAAUGAGCCGGCUGCCCUCGCAUCCUAUUUAUAGGAGGCUGGAGCCUCGGAGUACGCGGGGCGUACGCGUCCGAAACGUCACUGCAUGCGUCAUCCGAAGAACUCGAGUGCGAAGGUCGUCAUACUUCGCUGUACGCGGGGCGUACUUCGGAUGAGUCCGAUGACUCGUCUUCGGAUAAUACCGGGAUUUAAUAAUUAAAUUUAAUUAUUAAUUAUUUAAUAAACUUCGAAAAUUCAUAUCUUCUUCAUACGAACUCCGUUUUCGACGUUCUUUAUAUCCACGCGUAGGUGAGACUACGCUCUACGACUUUCGUUUAGACUCCGUCGGCUAAUUUUGACUUUUAUUUUUAUUAUUUAUUUUUAAUAGGCCGGGACAAAAAAUUUCGUUAUAAAUUCAUAACUUCUUCGUUUGACGUCCGUUCUUGCCUAACUUUUCAUCGUUUCGCUACUAACAACGAGAUCUUCAAUUCUCGUUUAGAUCGCUACGAUUAAAUCUCACUCUAACGUAAAUUCACUUUUUACGUCAUUCAGCGUUGUGUCGGUUUUGUCGCGAAACUUCAACAAGUCAUAACUUCUUCGUUAUAACUCGGAUUUUGGCAUUCUUUAUAUGUACGGAAUCCUUGUAAAAUACACUACGACUUAGUUAGGAUUAUUCAUCCUAAAUAAUCUUCUAUCAAAAAGUCAUUUUUGACGCUUAUCGUCUCUAAAUUGACUAGCCCUGAUCUACGGGCGUUACAACUAUCUCCCCCUUAGGAUGAUUACGUCUCGGAAUCAUCAACGAAAUAGGAUUCGUAUACUGACUCCAUAAGUUAUCUCUCCAUCCUAAGUAAUAACCUUGAUGCUCAAUCCUGCAUCUACUCUUCGUACUAUGUUGGACUUUCGAUCGACAUCUUUAAGUUACAAAAUAAAUCCUUAUUGUGGACUCCUUCUUCUUCUAAGGAUAAAUACAUUCAUUUAUCUAUUGUAACUAACCGAUGGGUCGUGUCUCGAUGACCUCUCAUCGUGGUCGGACUCAAUUUAAUAUGACCACUAGGGUCGGAAUAACCAUCAUCCUACUAGCCAUUACCGAAACAAGGGUAAUGACAAACUUGAAUAAAACGAAAUCAAUUACUAGCUUCU
This 4702-nucleotide long non-coding RNA is filed under the name Lactuca sativa (garden lettuce). RNAcentral describes it as "long non-coding RNA (LSAT_LNC009378)". Lineage: Eukaryota; Viridiplantae; Streptophyta; Magnoliopsida; Asterales; Asteraceae. The record is from RNAcentral.